AUCUUUAGGCCCGACAACCCAUGCUUUGCCUGUCCGCAGAGUUAUUUUGAGGGAAGCUUCCUUGGGGAUGAUUAUCUGAGUUGAAAAUGAAAAUAUACAUGGGGGCAAGGAUCUCCUCUCAACUUUGGAAGAACUAAGCAUGCCACUGUAUUUCAGGCACCCCCAGAGUAGGGUGAACUGAAAAGCCAACCAGGAAGAAAGCAGAGAAGGCAUGUUGCUCUAAAAGGAAGAUUGAAAACGUCCUAGGGUGGGAGUUGGGGCUGGGUAGUUUUAGUUUUGAUGGGGGCAGAGCUUGGCCUGAGGUGGGCCAAGAGCUGGGACCGGAACAGGGACAGGAAAGGGGUUGUUGCGGUUCCACGGCCCAGCGGGGGAUUCCACACACGCCCCACCGAAGGGGCCAUCUGACCAAGCCUGACCAAGCCGAAUGCCAAGGGGUAAAGACUCCAUUAACAUCCAGUAACGAGGGGAACACCAGAGGAGUGCCGAGAAAGUUCCUGUGCAGAGCGAUGGAAGACCAUGAACUGCCAACAGGAGUUGGGAAAGAGGUGGAGGCCUCUUGGGUGAAGGCAUCCUGGCAGGCAGGCAAGUCCCAACAGGCUGACGAGGGCUGCAGCAUGCAGACAAACGGUCCUGGAUUUGGGAGUCAAGAAUAUUGCAGCCCAGCUUUAGUUCUGGCAAGGAUGCCAUACACCGUGAGGCUGUGUGAGCCCCUAAAUCCCUCUGUACCUCGUUUUCCUCUCAGCAUCACCACCCCAUAUUUGCCACCAAAAAGGACCCAGGAGUCUGAUGCCUUCAUGAGGCAUUAUCUUCAUGUUCCAGUCUCUCACUGUUCUGGCUGCCCACCCCUUGGGAAGGGUGCUGGGUCGGGGCUGGGAGCGGGGGCUGAUCCCCUGGCUGCAGUGGGAGUCUCGCUUUUCCAGCCCUCAUCCUCAACAGCUGCCUCUGCCAAGGCCCUGGAGCUAGAAAAAGCAAGGCCAUUGCC
This is a long non-coding RNA of Neofelis nebulosa (Clouded leopard), 982 nucleotides long. RefSeq lists it as uncharacterized. Lineage: Eukaryota; Metazoa; Chordata; Mammalia; Carnivora; Felidae. The record is from RefSeq and is a predicted model, not a curated record. The transcript has 5 exons.